GACAGAGGGUGCAAACGUUGUUCGGAAUCACUGGGCGUAAAGCGCGUGUAGGCGGUCGUAUAAGUCGGAUGUGAAAGUCCUCGGCUCAACCGGGGAAGUGCACCCGAAACUGUGCGACUGGAGUCCCGGAGAGGAUAGUGGAAUUCUCGGUGUAGAGGUGAAAUUCGUAGAUAUCGAGAGGAACACCGGUGGCGAAGGCGGCUAUCUGGACGGUGACUGACGCUGAGACGCGAAAGCGUGGGGAG
Molecule: ribosomal RNA, 245 nt
Filed under: uncultured bacterium
Lineage: Bacteria
Description: partial 16S ribosomal RNA
Rfam family: Bacterial small subunit ribosomal RNA
Source: RNAcentral